RNAcentral lists this ribosomal RNA (498 nucleotides) under uncultured bacterium. Its description in RNAcentral is "partial 16S ribosomal RNA". It matches the Rfam family "Bacterial small subunit ribosomal RNA", at positions 30 to 523 of the family's 1533-position model. The record is from RNAcentral.
AUUGAACGCUGGCGGCAUGCCUUACACAUGCAAGUCGAACGGUAACAGGUCUUCGGAUGCUGACGAGUGGCGAACGGGUGAGUAAUACAUCGGAACGUGCCUAGUAGUGGGGGAUAACUACUCGAAAGAGUGGCUAAUACCGCAUGAGAUCUACGGAUGAAAGCGGGGAAUCGCAAGACCUUGUGCUACUAGAGCGGCCGAUGGCAGAUUAGGUAGUUGGUGGGAUAAAAGCUUACCAAGCCGACGAUCUGUAGCUGGUCUGAGAGGACGAGCAGCCACACUGGGACUGAGACGCGGCCCAGACUCCUACGGGAGGCAGCAGUGGGGAAUUUUGGACAAUGGGGGCAACCCUGAUCCAGCAAUGCCGCGUGCAGGAAGAAGGCCUUCGGGUUGUAAACUGCUUUUGUACGGAACGAAACGGUCUGGGUUAAUACCCUGGGCUAAUGACGGUACCGUAAGAAUAAGCACCGGCUAACUACGUGCCAGCCGCCGCGGUAA